Molecule: ribosomal RNA, 300 nt
Filed under: uncultured bacterium
Lineage: Bacteria
Description: bacterial SSU rRNA
Rfam family: Bacterial small subunit ribosomal RNA
Source: RNAcentral
GCUAAGUCGGGUCGACGGUCGUCGGGAAUACGGGGGAUGUGAGCGUUAUUCGGAAUCAUUGGGGGUAAAGGGGUCGUAGGGGGUCUUGUAAGUCAGGGGUGAAAGUUGUUGGCUUAACCAAAAAAUUGCCAGUGAGACUGUAGGGCGUGAAUAUGUGAGAAGUAACUAGAAUUGGUAGUGUAGCGGUGAAAUGCGUAGAUAGUACAUGGAAUACCAAUGGCGAAGGCAGGUUACUAACAAAUGAUUGACGCUGAUGGACGAAAGCGUGGGUAGCGAACAGGAUUAGAUACCCCAGUAGUC